Long non-coding RNA from Antechinus flavipes (yellow-footed antechinus), 1708 nucleotides. RefSeq lists it as uncharacterized. The record is from RefSeq and is a predicted model, not a curated record. The transcript has 3 exons. NCBI's taxonomy places the organism in Eukaryota, Metazoa, Chordata, Mammalia, Dasyuromorphia, Dasyuridae.
CUCCCAGGGUCAUUGUGAAACUCAAAUGAGAUCAUAAUUGUAAAGCCCUUUGCACAGUGUCUGGCCCAUAGUAGGUACUUAAUAAAUGCUUGUUUCUUCUUCAACUUUAAAUGGGCCCUGUCACAGCCCCUCUCUCCCAGGAUUGUUAUGAGAAUCAGUGAAGGUCGAAUUGACCACUAAGAGUGAGAGCGAGACCAGAGACUCUCUGAAAAUCCCCAUGGAUUCCAGAGACAGUGCAGCUCAGCAUCUGGAUACGCUGGACAUGAAAAACCCUUUGGCCGUUCCGACUAUGUGGUGACCCAGCCCGGGAAGAUUCGGCGUUUUGCAGGUGACCAAGAGUCAACCGCAAGGGGAGUGUGUCCAGACUUAGAAAAGACCUUGAGCGUUCCAGGGGAAUCCUGGUCCACAGCCUGAAGCGACUCACAGCAAGAGGAGUUUCCUCAUCGAAGAAAACGAUCGCAGCAAAAAGAUUGCUCCAGACUUGGCCCAUUUUACCCAUAGAUAUCUGUUUAGAUAGUUGCAGGACUGGGGUGAAAUGGGGAAUACUACUCAGCAGUCUUGCAAAACGCUUUGUGUUCUAUUGAGGUUUAAGUAUCAGCAUCCCAGCAGAUUGUAACCGUAGCGGUUAGUUAAUAGAUCUUAUUUUAACUUUAUUCUUGUCAAAUGUGGGCUUGUGACUGCUCUGUGUUUAGUAUUCCUUCUAUGUAUAGGAAUUAAAUACCUGUCCCAAACCUGAUUCAUAUUUGUAACUCUCCCCUUUUGAGAAAACCCUAGAUAGGAAACUAAGCUUUAAAUAAUAUAUCCCUUGGGAUCCUAGGGUGGGAGGAUUAGCCAGACAAGAAAGAUGAGAAGUGGGAAAUCUGGAUCCCUCAGGCCUGAGCUCAGGCCAAAUCUCGUGUCUAUUUUCAGAAUCAAGGGACCCCCUUAUUGGAAAAAGAAGGGCUGUAGCACCUCCCAAGCCCUGUGGGUCCAGCAGGGGUUCCUGAGUGUUAGAUGUUGUUUCUGUAAUUAAUAUAUGUAUAAUUUUCCUAAUAUUGGACCAACCUGUCAUUCCCGGUAUCAGUUCAACCUGGUCAUAGUUUAUAAUCUCUGUAAUCUACUGCCAAAACUUCUGCUAAUAUUUUAUGCUAUAUUAUUUUUAGUAGAUAUUUAUUAGAAAUAAUGACCUAUGAUUUUAUUUUCUGUGCUAUCUCUCUCUAUUCGAGGUAUCAAGAUUGUCUCUUAGAAGAAAUUCGGUAGGGUGCCAUUUUCCCCUAAUUUUUAAUCGAAUUUUUUAUUUUCCAAUUACAUGUAAAAAGUUUUCAACAUUUGUUUUUUAAAGUUUUGAGUUCUAAAUUCCCUCUUUCCCUUCUUUUUCUUGCAAACAAUAUGUGCAAAAUUUCAGUGAAUUAUUCUUUAAAUAUUUGAUAUAAUUUACUUCUAAAUCCAUUUGGCUCUAGGGUUUUUCCUUUGGGAGUUGAUUUAUAGCUUGUUCAAUUUCUCUUUUCUGAGAUUGGUUUAUUUAAUAUCCAUUUCUUGUCCUGAUCAUCUGAGUAUUUCAUUUUUUUUUUUGGUAACUAUUCCUCCAUUUAAUUUUAACAUUUUUCCUGGCCUAUAAUUCAGGAAAAUAAUUUCUUUCUUUCUUUCUUUUUUUUUUUUUAAUUUCCUCUUCAUUUGUUGUGAGUUCUUAUUUUCUAUCUUAGAUACUGGCAAUUGGAUCUCUCUCUCU